UUAAACUUGUGCAUCUGUUUAACAAGAUUUAUAAUUCUAUCUUAAAAUUAAUCAUUUGAAUUAUGUGUUUCCAUUGAUCGUUGCACAUAGAAUCUAUCUGAAUAAAAAACAAACGGAAGAAGCUUAAAAAAAAGUAGUCAAAUAGUCAAGAAACAUCGGGACGGUUAAGAAACAAUGUUCAUUACUAUAUUGGUAUUUUCUAUAUUUAUUUUAUUGGUAUAUAAUUAUUAUGUGUAUCAUAAAAAAUACCGACAACUUCUUAAUCUUAUACCGGGACCAUCGGGUUUUCCGAUUAUUGGCAAUGCGCUCCAAUGCUAUGUGUCAGAAGAGAAAUUAUGGAAGCUCUUCUGUAAAUUGUCUGAUGAAUAUUAUCCCAUUAUUAAAUUCGGGGUUUUUUUUAUAUAUGGAGUGGGUAUCCGUCAUCCAGACGAUAUAGAGACGAUACUAAGCAGUACUAAGCACAUCGAGAAAAGUUUUCUGUAUAACGUUGUUCAUCCUUGGUUAAAUACAGGUCUUGUAACUAGUACAGGUAAUAUAAAUAUAAUAAUGUUAAUAUAUGUAUAAGUACAUAUAUACUUUUCUAUUACAAUUUGUGAAACGUCAUUUCGUUUACAAGCCACGUCACAAAAAAUCAAAUAAAAUGUUACAAUUAGACUUAAAUAUAUUAUAAAACAAAUACAAAAAAAAGCAAGUAAGGCCACCGAUAUUAAAGGUUGAAAAAGACGUUAUUGACGAUCUUGAUAUGACUUUUACGGGCGUGAUACAACGGAUUAGUUUAUAUUAUUAUUUAUUGCAUUGAAAAGGAUCCGGAGAGGAUUGAAACGUUUGCGCUAAUUAUUGUAUCUUGAAAUUUUAAACAUGAUUGUAAUUUAACACGCGUUUACAAUUAAAUCUUUUUUUGUCAACCUUUAAUAUCGGUGGCCUUACUUGCUUUUUUGUGUUUUUGUGUAUUUGUUUUAUAUUUAUUAUUCGGCGCCACCUAUUCUUAUAACAUUUGUUAUUUUAAAUAUAUUACAUAUCUAGUUUUAUCUUUAAUCCGUAGCGGUGCACAAUAUAACUCUAGGGUAACUGCGAGAUAUUGAUGUCACUAUGCUGUGAUUCGUUUUAUUAAAUUUAUAUUAGUUAGACUGAUUACAAAACUAGAUUUCUUUUUACAAGCGAGAUUUCGCGGGAAGUGUAGAACAACUACUAAAAGUACUAAUACUUACUAUACUACUACUACUGUAGUGUAAUACUAAAAGUAGUAAAACUACUACUUUUAAUAUUACACUACAGUAAAAAAAAGCUCUGAUGAAGUGUCAUCUAUGCGAGUCUGAAUUAAAAAUAAACUUGAAAUUAAAAAUAUUAUAGUUGUUGUCAUUAAAGACAAAAAACACUAAUAGAAUAUUAUCCUAAAUAGCGAAUUUAUAUUUCUGUGUUACAAAAAUUAAUAAAAAAGA
Molecule: RNA transcript, 1439 nt
Organism: Camponotus floridanus (Florida carpenter ant)
Lineage: Eukaryota; Metazoa; Arthropoda; Insecta; Hymenoptera; Formicidae
Gene name: cytochrome P450 4C1-like
Exons: 4
Source: RefSeq, a predicted model, not a curated record